This 440-nucleotide ribosomal RNA is filed under the name uncultured bacterium. Its description in RNAcentral is "partial 16S ribosomal RNA". It matches the Rfam family "Bacterial small subunit ribosomal RNA", at positions 338 to 795 of the family's 1533-position model. The record is from RNAcentral.
CCUACGGGAGGCAGCAGUGGGGAAUAUUGCACAAUGGGGGAAACCCUGAUGCAGCAACGCCGCGUGAGUGAAGAAGUAUUUCGGUAUGUAAAGCUCUAUCAGCAGGGAAGAAGAUGACGGUACCUGAUUAAGAAGCCCCGGCUAACUACGUGCCAGCAGCCGCGGUAAUACGUAGGGGGCAAGCGUUAUCCGGAUUUACUGGGUGUAAAGGGAGCGCAGACGGCAGUGCAAGUCUGGAGUGAAAGCCCGGGGCCCAACCCCGGAACUGCUCUGGAAACUGUGCGGCUAGAGUACUGGAGGGGCAGGCGGAAUUCCUAGUGUAGCGGUGAAAUGCGUAGAUAUCACGCAGAACCCCGAUUGCGAAGGCAGCAUACCGGUGCACAACUGACGCUCAGGCACGAAAGCGUGGGUAUCGAACAGGAUUAGAUACCCCAGUAGUC